RNAcentral lists this ribosomal RNA (440 nucleotides) under uncultured bacterium. RNAcentral describes it as "partial 16S ribosomal RNA". It matches the Rfam family "Bacterial small subunit ribosomal RNA", at positions 338 to 795 of the family's 1533-position model. The record is from RNAcentral.
CCUACGGGUGGCAGCAGUGAGGAAUAUUGGGCAAUGGGGGCAACUCUGACCCAGCCAUGCCGCGUGAGUGAAGAAGGUCUUCGGAUUGUAAAGCUCUUUCUGACGUGACGAUGAUGACGGUAGCGUCUAAAGAAGCACCGGCAAACUUCGUGCCAGCAGCCGCGGUAAUAUGUAGGAGGAAAGCGUUGUCCGGAUUUACUGGGUGUAAAGGGCGUGUAGCCGGGCUGACAAGUCAGAUGUGAAAUCCGGGGGCUCAACCCCCGAACUGCAUGUGAAACUGUUGGUCUUGAGUAUCGGAGAGGCAGGCGGAAUUCAUAGUGUAGCGGUGAAAUGCGUAGAUAUUAGGAGGAACACCAGUGGCGAAGGCGGCCUGCUGGACGACAACUGACGGUGAGGCGCGAAAGCGUGGGGAGCAAACAGGAUUAGAUACCCGGGUAGUC